Molecule: ribosomal RNA, 372 nt
Filed under: uncultured organism
Description: partial 16S ribosomal RNA
Rfam family: Bacterial small subunit ribosomal RNA
Source: RNAcentral
GUAGGGGGCAAGCGUUGUCCGGAAUUAUUGGGCGUAAAGCGCGCGCAGGCGGUCUCUUAAGUCCGAUGUGAAAGCCCACGGCUCAACCGUGGAGGGUCAUUGGAAACUGGGGGACUUGAGUGUAGGAGAGGAAAGUGGAAUUCCAUGUGUAGCGGUGAAAUGCGUAGAUAUGUGGAGGAACACCAGUGGCGAAGGCGACUUUCUGGCCUACAACUGACGCUGAGGUGCGAAAGGUGGGGAGCAAACAGGAUUAGAUACCCUGGUAGUCCACGCCGUAAACGAUGAGUGCUAGGUGUUAGGGGUUUCGAUGCCCCUUAGUGCCCGAAGUUGACACAUUAAGCACUCCGCCUGGGGAGUACGACCGCAAGGUUG